UUAAUAAACCUAAAUGCCCUAAAGGUGCCAGAUCACUGACCUUGGAAGCUAAGCAGGGUCAUUCCUGGUUAGUGCUUGGCUGGGAGACCACAAGAGAUUGCCAGGUGCUUGCUAGU
RNAcentral lists this ribosomal RNA (116 nucleotides) under Anolis carolinensis (green anole). The record is from RNAcentral. Lineage: Eukaryota; Metazoa; Chordata; Lepidosauria; Squamata; Anolidae.